Momordica charantia (bitter melon) is the source of this 2940-nucleotide non-coding RNA. The record is from RefSeq and is a predicted model, not a curated record. NCBI's taxonomy places the organism in Eukaryota, Viridiplantae, Streptophyta, Magnoliopsida, Cucurbitales, Cucurbitaceae.
UAUGUUUCAGUUUCCAUGUUUGUCAGCUCCCUAGAUUCGUGUUUUCUCUUAUGCUUCAGAUGGUGUCUAAGAUUUAUUUCCAUUAGGUACGUUUCCAUUUCAAUAUUCUUCAAUGUCUCAAUAUUCAUAAUAGCAGAUGCCCUUUUUUUCUUCCUUCCUAAUUUAUUUACCGGUUGAAGUUUGUUGCAGUCUUAUUUGUAUUGGAUAAAUAUGAGGGAUAUUUAUGUAUAAUAUUCUACUUCGAAGCUACUCAGUCAGUCAAGGUAGCAUGUUCUUCAUUUCGGUUAAAUCUUUUCGUCUGAGCUAAAAAGAUAAUGUUAUGGGCUUUCUCUUUUGCAUGUUGUUGGGAUAUUGAUKGUGGCCGUUGGAAUUUUUGUCCAUCCCUCAAAACAUAUUUUCUCCAAAAUUUUUAUUUCGCUCUCUUAAAUUUGCCAUUCCAGCCUCUUUUCUCCCUUCGAAAUUUUGUCCAUUUCUUAUACCAUUGCUUUGAAGAAUUUUUCCUCUUACUGAACUUUUUGUUGUGUGAUUUUUUGAAAGCAAUUUUUGAAAAUAAAACUUGUUUACCAGUAGUAGUAAGUUUUAUAUGAUACGUCUUAGCUUUUAACAUUGUAUUUYAGAUGGAUGAUGGUUGAAUCAACGAACCUACCGGUGCUUUGUGUUCGUGGAACAGAGAUGGAUGAUGGUUGAAAAAACAAACCUMCUGGWGCUUUGUGUUCGGGGAACAAGAUUAUUUUGUUCGAGGUCUGUUGCAGUUUGAGGGCUUCUUAGAAUUGCAAAUAAUUGGGAGUCAAUUAGGCAAAUAUGGAUCAGUAUGCAACUCUUCCCAGUUUGCUGUAUUCUUUUAUCGUUUUCAUUGCCUGCAAACUCAGAAAAUCGAUGAACUAUCAUAGAUUCAGUUGUCUUGAGGUCAGAAGGACAUUGCAUCACACUAAGGGCAUAUGGAGGGUUGGUAAUCUCUUAGCUCUCAAUUUGGCAGUUGGCUUCUUCUCCACGCACGCUCCAACGGCUAUAAGUACGGAGUCGCUUCUGGUUGGUUUGAGAAACGUCCCCUCCAUCGUUCGCUUUGUUUUCCUCGAUCUCAUUUAUGGGUUUCCAGUUAAGGUUUUCUCUUCUUCACUCUCUCGCUCAUAUCAGUCGAUUAUCGAUCUUGGAAGUACAUAAAAUUGGACUCCAUUUUUCUCUGUUCACCUUCCAGUUUUUUCGUCUCUGUCUUCGGAGCCCUAAAUCCUCCUCUUGAUUAGAUCCUGCCGGAACCCUAAAUCGUUCAUUUUAUCACAUUCCGAUGGAAGUUUUAAUCGUUCUCUUUGUUAGAUCCCACAGUGACCAUAAAUCGUUCUCUUGUUUAUCUCCCCUACACCUCAUGAAACGAUAAUUCCCUCCUCCCACGUCUGAAAAUCUAUGGAAACCACAAUCUCAUAAUAUUGGGACGGCCAAUAUCUCUGAUCCAAAGUUGGCCGCUUUGAAACUCGAUCACCCAGGAUGAGAUGUCGACAGAGUGGAGGUGUUCGCUUCGACCGCAGUGAAGUUUGCCGAUUGAUCAAAAUUUUAACGUCGGCGCAGAAAUCUCAUCCCAAAGCAUCAUCCUGAGAUCGUUCGACACAGGAGGCAACUCCAUUCUGAUUAUUUUUGGGCGGUUCAGAUGGGUUUUGUGAAUUUGGGUAUUGGAGUCUCUGUGGAAUGGAUCGGGAUCAAUGCCACUGAAAUAGUUUCUGCACGUCCCUGUUGUGUAUGGAUAAUGAUCCUUCCUGCCUCGGAAAACAUGCUUCCGACUUGCCUACCGGUGUGCUGAGAUUGUGAAAAUAUUUGGAAACAAGGCUUCGAGGGUUUAUGGGCAAAUGAAUUCUGUGCCAUUUCUCACUUUGCCAACGAGAAAAUUGAUAAAGCAGUAGGUGGCGUUAUUGGCUAUGCCGAACCAUGGCCUACUUCUUGCUUUUCCUUCCAAUGGAAGAGGGAUCCCACCCAAAUGGGUCACUACCAUAGGGUACGGACUAUCACCCCCCUCUCCCCUUUCUUCUUGAGAGAACAUCCACUGCCACUUCAACGAAAACAUGGAAGCAAGAAAAAUGCUAAAUUCACAGGUCGAACCAUGGCCUACUUGGUAAACCAGUUGGUAUUUUUGGCUAUGUCGAGCCAUGGCCUACUUGCUUUUCCUUCAGGUGGAAGAGGGAUCCCAACCAAACGGGUCACUACAAUUGGAUAAGAACUAUCACCCCCUCCCCCCUUUCUUCACGAGAGAACAUCCACUGACACUUCAACGAAAACAUCGAAGCAAGAAAAUGCUAAAUUCACAGGUGAAAGGAAAGUUUAUUUUGGAUGUUUUAGUUCAUGAAGAUCUCCCUACUACGGGGAAAGGGAAGGGCAAACAGGUGUAUACUCUACAACAAGAACAAGCAAGGAUGAACCCUCUUCAAAGAGUAUGAAGCAGCUUGAGUUAAGUUAUUGCUGGAAUUAGCCAGGGGUUCUACCAUUACCAGAUCUCGGAGCUAGACCGACCAAGAAAAUGAUGGCAGUGGAAUGGAGCUAUCUACUCUUGAGGAAUAGACAAUUCCCGAUGACCUUGUUUAAUUUCAAGCACAUAUACAUUGGGGGAGAGCAGGGAAACCCAAUUACACUGCUAAGGGAUAUUUAUUCUCCCCGUCUCUGGCCAUCAAAGUGCCUUUUUUGUAUCCUUUCAUAUGUCAUAUUAGUUUUUUGUAGGACAAUGAUGUUAUUAUUUUCAAUUCCUGUUUUGCAAUGCCAUAUUUGUUUCCUAAUGCGCUCCACAAUCAUUUAGUAUAGCAUGAUUGAAUGGUUCAACUGGUAGAAUUGUUCACCAUUCUCAUGUGUUUUGAUUGUUUACAGCUUUCUUUUCUCCCGUAAAGGUGUUGUCUUUAGCCAUCGACACUCAAACUAGCUUUUGCUCAUAUGCCCUAUCAUCUAAAUUGAUGGAUCAUUUGGUAA